This 465-nucleotide ribosomal RNA is filed under the name Vreelandella stevensii. RNAcentral's name for it is "partial 16S ribosomal RNA". It matches the Rfam family "Bacterial small subunit ribosomal RNA", at positions 338 to 795 of the family's 1533-position model. The record is from RNAcentral. Lineage: Bacteria; Pseudomonadati; Pseudomonadota; Gammaproteobacteria; Oceanospirillales; Halomonadaceae.
CCUACGGGUGGCAGCAGUGGGGAAUAUUGGACAAUGGGGGCAACCCUGAUCCAGCCAUGCCGCGUGUGUGAAGAAGGCCCUCGGGUUGUAAAGCACUUUCAGUGAGGAAGAACGCCUGGUGGUUAAUACCCAUCAGGAAAGACAUCACUCACAGAAGAAGCACCGGCUAACUCCGUGCCAGCAGCCGCGGUAAUACGGAGGGUGCGAGCGUUAAUCGGAAUUACUGGGCGUAAAGCGCGCGUAGGUGGCUUGAUAAGCCGGUUGUAAAAGCCCCGGGCUCAACCUGGGAACGGCAUCCGGAACUGUCAAGCUAGAGUGCAGGAGAGGAAGGUAGAAUUCCCGGUGUAGCGGUGAAAUGCGUAGAGAUCGGGAGGAAUACCAGUGGCGAAGGCGGCCUUCUGGACUGACACUGACACUGAGGUGCGAAAGCGUGGGUAGCAAACAGGAUUAGAUACCCUGGUAGUC